AAUCCCCUGCGGUGUUCGUCAAGGCCAACCAUUCCUUGAACCGAUACAUCGGCAUCAUGGCUGCCGACCGCACAUGUCGCUGUUGCGAGCGCCCUUCGCCGGGCGCACCUGAUGCGGCAGGAAGGCAGCCGCACUCGAGCCUUGGGUUCGGGAUGCCGGCCUGACGGCACACGCGGGGGGCCA
Molecule: non-coding RNA, 183 nt
Organism: Betaproteobacteria bacterium CG2_30_68_42
Lineage: Bacteria; Pseudomonadati; Pseudomonadota; Betaproteobacteria
Source: Rfam